CCCUUAGAUGAUUUGGGCUGCACGCGCGCUACACUGACCCUAACAAUGAGCAACUGUCUGGCCUGAGAUGGCUGGGUAGCCUUUUCAACCCAUGUCAUGAUUGGGCUAGAUUUUUGUAAGUCUUGAUCUCUAACGAGGAAUCCCUAGUAUGCGUGAAUCAUCAAUCCAUGCAGAUUAUGUCCCUGCCCUUUGUACACACCGCCCGUCGCACCUACCGAUUGAAUGGUCCGGUGAAAUCUCGGGACGGCGGCUUGGUCGCUUGCGUCCGACUGCUGAAACUUGAUUAAACCAUAUCAUUUAGAGGAAGGUGAAGUCGUAACA
Molecule: ribosomal RNA, 321 nt
Filed under: uncultured eukaryote
Lineage: Eukaryota
Description: partial 18S ribosomal RNA
Rfam family: Eukaryotic small subunit ribosomal RNA
Source: RNAcentral